AUGGCUCGGGCUACUAAAGGUCCCGUAGUGAAGUCCAUCCCUCCCACUGCUAGGACAGCACACUCAGACUCACUUACUGCCCAGAGCCUUGGAAUUUUACGAAUCAUGAAUCGUCCGGCACAAUGGGUGGUCAUCAUCACACUUCUGAUUUCUUGGUCAAUAGCAGGUGUUAUCAUGUUUGAUUUUGUCAGUGACAAUCAGAUUGCAAGCAUCCAGGAUUUUGGCUCUGAUCCAGUGCUAGCAGUGAGCAAGGCCAUUGAAGGCAUUGAAAAAAGGAUAAACCAUAUGAACGACAUGCUUUAUGAUGCUAUCGAGUAUGCCACUGAAAUAAUAUUUAAUCCGAGGGACGCUAUUAGUUUAGCAGCCGACUCUUCUGUGUCUUAUCUGUCAGGAAUAUUUAGUGCCGAUGGAGAUUCAGGAGUCACUGAAACAGUGAAAUAUGCUGGCACUGUAUUGGAUGAAGCUACAGAAUGGAUCAGAACUCCAGUGAGCUACUUUUUCCACUUGUUUGAAGACAUAUUGGCUAUAGCGAUUACUCCAGUGGACAUGAUCACUGAAGUUGCUGUGCAAAUUUUAAGUGGGAUCAAGACCAUUAUACAAUACAUUUCAGCCAUGUUUGGGGGUAUUGAAGGCAUCACUGAAACAGUGAAACUUGGUGGCACUGUAUUGGAUGAAGUUACUGAAUGGAUUAGAUUCCCAGUGGGCUACUUAUUCCACUUAUUUGAAGACAUCUUGGAUGUAGCAAUCAUUUAUCCAGGGGACAUUGCCACUGAAGCAGUUCUGCAAAUUUUAAGUAGGAUCAAGACCAUUUCUUCAGCCAUAUUUGGGUACAUUGAAGCUUGGUUUCCCAAAUUGAGCACGGAUCCUGAAGGACUGGCUGUAAUUGUUGUAGAGGAGGCCACAGACAUAAAGACCACUGUCUCUAAUUACCUAACCAGUCUGAUAACAGUGGAUGAAGGGGGUAUUCCUGACAUUAGCUUUGAUCCCAUGAAAGUUGUCACAGACACUGUUGAGGAGUUUGCUGACAGGAGAGAUAUGUUCAUGGCCUAUCUCUUCAACAUGGAAGACAAAGGUGACACACCGCAAGUUAUAAGACGAAAAGGAGAAUUUCUGCCACCUAUAGAAAAAGUUCUUGAACAAGUGAAAGAAGCCAAAGAGAAAAAAGCUAGAGAAGAGAUUUACAAAAUCAUUCAAGAUAUGAGGGAAAAGGAGGCUGAAGGUAAAGAGGAAGAGAUAACACUUCAACAAAUAAAUAUAACAGUAGAAAAAGUCAAGAAGGAAAAGAAGAUAGAAAAGGCUAAAAGAAAAGAAAAAUCCAAAGAGGACGAGACUCGAGAACCAGCAGAAAAGGACACCAAGAAAACAACUGAGAAAAAGGUCAAGGUGACUAAAGUGGACCAGGAAGCCCCUAUAAAAAAGAAGAAAUCUGAACUUAAAAUGGCCAAAAAAGAGACCAAACCAGCACAAUCUAAGAAAGAGCCUCGAGUUACAAAAGAAAAGGCUAAACCAGCUCGUUCAAAGAAAGUUGCUGUUGAAAAACCAAAACUUGCUCCUGGAAAGAAAGAGCCUAAGGUUUCUAAAGAGAAGGCCAAGCUGAAACCCUCAAAGAAAGCUGAAGAGAAACAAAGACCUGUUCCUGUGAAGAAAAAGGCUUUAGCACCCAAGGACAAAAUUAAACCGGCCCUUUUGAAAAAAGAAGAAAAGCCAACAACCACCACUGUUAAAAAAGAGCCUGCAGUUGCAAAAGAGAAAGUCAAACCAGUGCCUUCAAAGAAAGAUACUGAAGCUACUAAGGAUAAAGUGAAACCAGCCCCAGUUAAGAAAGAACCUGCAGUUUCAAAAGGGAAAGCAAAAGCCAAAAGUUCCAAAAAAGAGGCAGAAGUUGCCAAAGACAAGCAUAAACCUGUCGCUGUGAAGAAAGAAACUGCUGUUGCAGUUAAAAAAGCAAAACCAAAAGCUGAACCAAAGAAAGUUACCAAAGAGAAAGCUAAAGCAGAACCUGCAAAGAAAGAACCUGAGAUAACCAAAGGAAAACUGAGGGCACCAAAGAAAGAGGCUAAAGUCAUCAAGGUGGAAACCAAACCAGCUCCUGCAAAGAAAGAGGCUAAAGUCAUCAAAGGUGUUAAACCAGCUCCUAAGAAGAAAGAGCCUGAAGUAAUCAAGAAGAAAGUUAAACUGGCUCCUGUAAAGAAAAGUAUGAAUCUCAAUGAAAUCAUGCUGAAUAUGUUGUUGUUGUUCCACUUUAUAAUGAUCAUUUAUUACAUUUUACAGAGCAUGGAAGUUGCUAAAAAAAAGGCACUUGUCCUAAAACCCAAAAAAGGUUAGUUCUUGAACCUUUAAAAACAUUUACUGAAUUUAAAUUUACUGUCAGUUAUCUUUAUCCUACCAUUUCAGAAGCUCUUAAAGUUAACAUUAUGGAAAGUUAAUUAUCUAUUUAUUUUAUAGAGCCUGAAGUUAUCAAAAAGAAACCAGCAUCUCCAAAGAAAG
Carassius auratus (goldfish) is the source of this 2487-nucleotide long non-coding RNA. Lineage: Eukaryota; Metazoa; Chordata; Actinopteri; Cypriniformes; Cyprinidae. The record is from Ensembl.